RNAcentral lists this long non-coding RNA (1644 nucleotides) under Triticum aestivum (bread wheat). RNAcentral's name for it is "long non-coding RNA (TAES_LNC001778)". The record is from RNAcentral. Lineage: Eukaryota; Viridiplantae; Streptophyta; Magnoliopsida; Poales; Poaceae.
AUUCACAGGCUACAUCACGGCUCACUGUUACAACUGAGGAGUACAAUGGCUUCUAUAGGCCGGGAACACACACCCACUAGAGCACGUACUCCAUCCUUGCCCUACCCAUGCCACGAUGCCAACUAACUCCGACUCAGUCUCCCUAUACACACGUACGCAGCUCACCUGCAUGCACUAACAGCCUCAACGUACAGCCGGCUUUGUAGCUAGCCAAGACGUAGCACCCACGGACUCUCCCUGGUGAUCCGAUCAUCCGAUCGUGAGCCCGGGUUUCUCGUCCGCACGACCUCAACGUCAUGUUGCUUCGCUGUGCCUGCUGCAUACUACGUCGCCAUCCGACUACAAGCCACGAGCACACACACUACACAUCUCCCGCAUGUCUCGCGCGCACUCGACGCGCCCGACGAGCCCGACCGCACCACCAGUGCGUCCCACACGUCCCGCGCGCAUCCGACGCGUCCGACGAACCUGACUGCACCAGAUGCCGUGGCUUAUUCCAACACGCUCCCCUAAGCCACGACGUCGCCGCACGGCCUGCCUGCAGGAGCCCUGCCUUGUCGAUGUCGUCUCGGCGCCGUGGACUCCUCCGCUGCGUCUUCGGCACAAGUCGCCGCUCGCCGCGUCUCCGUACUGCGCGCCUCCACGGUUGUCGCGCCGAGGCGCCGCGACCUCUGCGCCACCACGCAGGUCCUUCGCGACCUUCACGUCUCCACGACCGUUAUGCUCUUCGCGCGCACUCCCCACGUCCCCGCGCUCCCGCCGCGCACGUACGCGAUCUGAGCGACCAGAUCCAGCGCCCCGACGCAGUCCACUCCCGCGGUCCCGACGCUCCCGACGCAUCCAGUGCGCACCCAUAACACGCACCGGUUGCGCCCGGCCCGCCGCCGUCGUCGCCGCCAUGCGCCGCAACCACACCGCCUCGACCUCCAUGUCCGCCGUGCUCGUCGCGGACUCACCGCGCACCACCUCCGCAUCCGCCAUGACAGCUGUCGCGCCGCGCACCUUCACAGGCCGACACACGGCCCGGAGCUCCGCGCAGCCGCCGACGAACGCCGCCAUCGCCGGCACGCCUCCGGCAUGGCCCAAGACGACCAAGCUCAUGAUACCAAUUGUUGUUGCCGCCCUCUCUCUCUCACCUCUGCACUCGCCUUGCACUCGAGGAGGAAGAGGACUGGAGGAGGAAGAAGUACACACAGACACAAUGACUUUCCCGGCCGGCGCACAAACGCGGCCGUGGGCGCACUAAUGCCCCAUUCUUUUUUUGUUGUAUUCACAGGCUACAUCACGGCUCACUGUUACAACUGAGGAGUACAAUGGCUUCUAUAGGCCGGGAACACACACCCACUAGAGCACGUACUCCAUCCUUGCCCUACCCAUGCCAGGAUGCCAACUAACUCCGACUCAGUCUCCCUAUACACACGUACGCAGCUCACCUGCAUGCACUAACAGCCUCAACGUACAGCCGGCUUUGUAGCUAGCCAAGACGUAGCACCCACGGACUCUCCCUGGUGAUCCGAUCAUCCGAUCGUGAGCCCGGGUUUCUCGUCCGCACGACCUCAACGUCACGUUGCUUCGCUGUGCCUGCUGCAUACUACGUCGCCAUCCGACUACAAGCCACGAGCACACACACUACACAUCUCCCGC